RNAcentral lists this long non-coding RNA (743 nucleotides) under Homo sapiens (human). Its description in RNAcentral is "epigenetically induced MYC interacting lncRNA 1". The record is from RNAcentral. Lineage: Eukaryota; Metazoa; Chordata; Mammalia; Primates; Hominidae.
AGUUAUCCCUCAGAGCUCCUGCUGCCUCGCCCGCUUUCUCUCGGAAACGUGAAGUGUGGCCUCAGCUGAAAGUGAGGUGGGCCUCAUUCAAUCAGUUGAAUUCUUCAAGAGAGAAAAACUGAAGUCCCUUAGAAGGAAAGAGUUCUGCCUUCAGACUGUCUUUGAACUUAAGACUGUAGCGUCGACUCCUGCCGGAAUUUCCAGCCUGCUGGCCAGCUCUGCAGAUUCACACUUGCCAGCCUCCACAAUCGCAGCUGAGGCGGAGGAACCCUAAGGGCUCAUUGAGAUCAUGGAUUUGCCCUUCUAUGCAUUGAUGGAGCACCUGCUGCCCACAGCGUCUGUAUUUGGUGCUGGGAUGCUGAGCCUCCUUCUUUAUGAAUUUUUAAAAGGACACUGAGAUCUUCAAACAGAGGCUGCCACUCUAAGCAAACAGAUCCCGAGCCCUGGACUCUGAAGCUUGGGCCCAGUUCUCCUUUUCUCCGGGUUUCAGAUCCCACUGUGAAGUGAGGGGGCCCUUCUGAUUCAGGACCCGGGGAAGCCAGGGGCAUGAGCAUCGGUGCCUCUUCUCUAUUUCAAGGACCCUUCUGGGUGUAAAGUUCUCUGAGAUGCCUUACAUGGAUUCCCACCACUGCAAGAUAACCAUCGUAUUCUAUUGAAAGAAACAUGACAUAAUGAUACCACAGCAAAAGCCAAUCUUGCUCCUUUUUAAAAAAUUAAAAACAAAACAAAACAAAAUUAAAAAA